GUUUGAUCCUGGCUCAGGAUGAACGCUGGCGGCGUGCUUAACACAUGCAAGUCGAACGAUGAACCUCACUUGUGGGGGGAUUAGUGGCGAACGGGUGAGUAACACGUGAGUAACCUGCCCUUGACUUUGGGAUAAGCCUGGGAAACUGGGUCUAAUACCGGAUAUGACUCCUCAUCGCAUGGUGGGGGGUGGAAAGCUUUUUUGUGGUUUUGGGAUGGACUCGCGGCCCUAUCAGCGUGAGGGAUGACGGCCUUCGGGUUGUAAACCUCUUUCAGUAGAGAAGAAGCGAAAGUGACGGUACCUGCAGAAGAAGCGCCGGCUAACUACGUGCCAGCAGCCGCGGUAAUACGUAGGGCGCAAGCGUUAUCCGGAAUUAUUGGGCGUAAAGAGCUCCGUAGGCGGUUUGUCGCGUCUGCCGUGAAAGUCCGGGGCUCAACUCCGGAUCUGCGGUGGGUACGGGCAGACUAGAGUGAUGUAGGGGAGACUGGAAAUUCCUGGUGUAGCGGUGAAAUGCGCAGAUAUCAGGAGGAACACCGAUGGCGAAGGCAGGUCUCUGGGCAUUAACUGACGCUGAGGAGCGAAAGCAUGGGGAGCGAACAGGAUUAGAUACCCUGGUAGUCCAUGCCGUAAACGUUGGGCACUAGGUGUGGGGGACAUUCCACGUUUUCCGCGCCGUAGCUAACGCAUUAAGUGCCCCGCCUGGGGAGUACGGCCGCAAGGGCUAAAACUCAAAGGAAUUGACGGGGGCCCGCACAAGCGGCGGAGCAUGCGGAUUAAUUCGAUGCAACGCGAAGAACCUUACCAAGGCUUGACAUGGACUGGAAAUACCUGGAAACAGGUGCCCCGCUUGCGGUCGGUUCACAGGUGGUGCAUGGUUGUCGUCAGCUCGUGUCGUGAGAUGUUGGGUUAAGUCCCGCAACGAGCGCAACCCUCGUUCUAUGUUGCCAGCGCGUGAUGGCGGGGACUCAUAGGAGACUGCCGGGGUCAACUCGGAGGAAGGUGGGGACGACGUCAAAUCAUCAUGCCCCUUAUGUCUUGGGCUUCACGCAUGCUACAAUGGCCGGUACAAAGGGUUGCGAUACUGUGAGGUGGAGCUAAUCCCAAAAAGCCGGUCUCAGUUCGGAUUGGGGUCUGCAACUCGACCCCAUGAAGUCGGAGUCGCUAGUAAUCGCAGAUCAGCAACGCUGCGGUGAAUACGUUCCCGGGCCUUGUACACACCGCCCGUCAAGUCACGAAAGUUGGUAACACCCGAAGCCGGUGGCCUAACCCCCUUGUGGGGAGGGAGCUGUCGAAGGUGGGACUGGCGAUUGGGACUAAGUCGUAACAAGGUAGCCGUACCGGAAGGUGCGGCUGGA
This 1355-nucleotide ribosomal RNA is filed under the name Arthrobacter sp. SS-2009-PON13. RNAcentral describes it as "partial 16S ribosomal RNA". It matches the Rfam family "Bacterial small subunit ribosomal RNA". Lineage: Bacteria; Bacillati; Actinomycetota; Actinomycetes; Micrococcales; Micrococcaceae. The record is from RNAcentral.